Molecule: long non-coding RNA, 300 nt
Filed under: Ricinus communis (castor bean)
Lineage: Eukaryota; Viridiplantae; Streptophyta; Magnoliopsida; Malpighiales; Euphorbiaceae
Description: long non-coding RNA (RCOM_LNC000344)
Source: RNAcentral
AAUUUAUGUCUCAUACUAAACUAAAAUUUAUGUCAGGUAGUUAAUUUAAAUCAAAACAAAAUUAAUUUAGUUUAUAAAAUUAGAAAAUUUCCAACAGUCAGUACAUCAAUGGAAAAAGGGAAGGAAUCACUGUUUUUGUAUAGCAAGGAUAAGUAGGGAACAUCCUAAGAGAUGAUCCAAAUUAGUUUUGGUCCUUUCAAAUGGUUCCCAUGUUUUGUGAACUGCUAAACACGCAUGGCCCACGAACUCCAACUCUUUCUUUCAUUCUCUUAAACAGGGACACUCCAACUUGUACUCUUU